GACGAACGCUGGCGGCGUGCUUAACACAUGCAAGUCGAACAGUGGCGAACGGGUGAGUAACACGUGAGUAACAUGCCCUCCACUUUGGGAUAACUCCGAGAAAUCGGGGCUAAUACUGGAUAGAGGGGGCUGGGCACGCGGCCUAUUAGUUUGUUGGUGAGGUAGUGGUCAGCAAGGCGUGACGGGUAGCGGGCCUGAGAGGGCGACCGGCAACACUGUGACUGAGACGCGGCCCAGACUCCUACGGGAGGCAGCAGUGGGGAAUAUUGCACAAUGGGCGAAAGCUUGAUGCAGCGACGCCGCGUGGGGGAUGACGGCAUUCUGGUUGUAAUCCUCUUUCAGCAAGGAAUCGGUACUUGCAGAAGAAGCGCCGGCUAACUACGUGCCAGCAGCCGCGGUAAUUC
Molecule: ribosomal RNA, 404 nt
Filed under: uncultured bacterium
Lineage: Bacteria
Description: partial 16S ribosomal RNA
Rfam family: Bacterial small subunit ribosomal RNA
Source: RNAcentral